CCUACGGGUGGCUGCAGUGGGGAAUAUUGCACAAUGGGCGCAAGCCUGAUGCAGCCAUGCCGCGUGUGUGAAGAAGGCCUUCGGGUUGUAAAGCACUUUCAGCGGGGAGGAAGGCGUUAAGGUUAAUAACCUUGGCGAUUGACGUUACCCGCAGAAGAAGCACCGGCUAACUCCGUGCCAGCAGCCGCGGUAAUACGGAGGGUGCAAGCGUUAAUCGGAAUUACUGGGCGUAAAGCGCACGCAGGCGGUCUGUCAAGUCGGAUGUGAGAUCCCCGGGCUCAACCUGGGAACUGCAUUCGAAACUGGCAGGCUAGAGUCUUGUAGAGGGGGGUAGAAUUCCAGGUGUAGCGGUGAAAUGCGUAGAGAUCUGGAGGAAUACCGGUGGCGAAGGCGGCCCCCUGGACAAAGACUGACGCUCAGGUGCGAAAGCGUGGGGAGCAAACAGGAUUAGAUACCCUUGUAGUC
Molecule: ribosomal RNA, 465 nt
Filed under: uncultured Klebsiella sp.
Lineage: Bacteria; Pseudomonadati; Pseudomonadota; Gammaproteobacteria; Enterobacterales; Enterobacteriaceae
Description: bacterial SSU rRNA
Rfam family: Bacterial small subunit ribosomal RNA
Source: RNAcentral